GACGAACGCUGGCGGCGCGCUUAACACAUGCAAGUCGAACGGAAAGGCCUGCUUUCCCUUGUGGAUUGCGGGUACUCGAGUGGCGAACGGGUGAGUAACACGUGAGUGAUCUGCCCCCAACUUGGGUAUAAGCCUGGGAAACUGGGUCUAAUUCCCGAUAGGACUGCAGGGUGGUGCCUGUGGUGGAAAACGAUUUUCUAGUGGUUGGGGAUGUGCUCGCGGCCUAUCAGCUUGUUGGUGGGGUAAUGGCCUACCAAGGCGGCGACGGGUAGCCGGCCUGAGAGGGUGGACGGCCACAUUGGGACUGAGAUACGGCCCAGACUCCUACGGGAGGCAGCAGUGGGGAAUAUUGCACAAUGGGCGGAAGCCUGAUGCAGCGACGCCGCGUGGGGGAUGACGGCCUUCGGGUUGUAAACUCCUUUCGACCGCGAGGAAGCCACCUGGUUGGAAGGGUGGUGACGGUAGUGGUAGAAGAAGCACCGGCUAACUACGUG
Molecule: ribosomal RNA, 494 nt
Filed under: uncultured bacterium
Lineage: Bacteria
Description: partial 16S ribosomal RNA
Rfam family: Bacterial small subunit ribosomal RNA
Source: RNAcentral